This 268-nucleotide ribosomal RNA is filed under the name uncultured prokaryote. RNAcentral's name for it is "partial 16S ribosomal RNA". It matches the Rfam family "Bacterial small subunit ribosomal RNA", at positions 524 to 792 of the family's 1533-position model. The record is from RNAcentral.
UACGGGAGGGGCAAGCGUUAUCCAUAAUUACUGGGCGUACAGAGUCCGUAGAUUGUAAUAUAAGUUAUAUGUUAAAAUUUAAAGCUCAACUUUAAAAAAAGAUAAAAUACUGUCUUACUUGAGUUUAAUACAGAAAAGCAGAAUUUCGUGUUAAGGAGUAAAUUCCAAAAAUACAUGAAGGAAUAUCAUUAGCGAAAGCGGCUUUUUAGUACAAACUGACAUUGAGGGACGAAAGUGUAGGGAGCGAACAGGAUUAGAUACCCCCGUA